GACGAACGCUGGCGGCGUGCUUAACACAUGCAAGUCGAACGGAAAGGCCCUGCUUUUGUGGGGUGCUCGAGUGGCGAACGGGUGAGUAACACGUGAGUAACCUGCCCUUGACUGUGGGAUAACUUCAGGAAACUGGGGCUAAUACCGGAUAGGAGCUCCUGCUGCGUGGUGGGGGGUGGAAAGUUUCGGCGGGUGGGGAUGGACUCGCGGCUUAUCAGCUUGUUGGUGGGGUAGUGGCUUACCAAGGCUUUGACGGGUAGCCGGCCUGAGAGGGGGACCGGCCACAUUGGGACUGAGAUACGGCCCAGACUCCUACGGGAGGCAGCAGUGGGGAAUAUUGCACAAUGGGCGGAAGCCUGAUGCAGCAACGCCGCGUGCGGGAUGACGGCCUUCGGGUUGUAAACCGCUUUCGCCUGUGACGAAGCGUGAGUGACGGUAAUGGGUAAAGAAGCACCGGCUAACUACGUG
Molecule: ribosomal RNA, 468 nt
Filed under: uncultured bacterium
Lineage: Bacteria
Description: partial 16S ribosomal RNA
Rfam family: Bacterial small subunit ribosomal RNA
Source: RNAcentral